Long non-coding RNA from Acipenser ruthenus (sterlet), 425 nucleotides. RefSeq lists it as uncharacterized. NCBI's taxonomy places the organism in Eukaryota, Metazoa, Chordata, Actinopteri, Acipenseriformes, Acipenseridae. The record is from RefSeq and is a predicted model, not a curated record. The transcript is spliced from 3 exons.
AUGACUCUCAGGAAUCCAUUCUGAUUGAGAUCCUGCUGGCCUCGGUGCAGCAGGCUGCAGAUGGACACCCACCUGCCAGGAGAGGGACUGGAAAAAAGGUCUUUCCUGCUAAAGAAAGGAAAGUUCAGGUGGAUGACUGUGACAAAAUCAUUGAACAUUUCAUUGUGCUUCCAGAACUCCUGGCCAAGCAGAUGCACACAAGGUGACUAGGAGGCUGUGUGGUCCAGUGGUUAAAGAAAGGGGCUUGUAACCAGGAGGUCCCCGGUUCAAAUCCCACCUCAGUCACUGACUCAUUGUGUGACCCUGAGCAAGUCACUUACCCUCCUUGUGCUCUGUCUGCUAAAUAAACAAAUAAUAAUAAUAAGAGUCUUCUACAGAUACCUCAGUAUUUCAGCAUGGAUGUCUACAGCACCGGCAGCCAUAUA